GGAUAUAGUAAAGUGGUAAAUGCAAAUCAUGGAUGAAAUUUAUAAGAUCGCUUCCACAGAAAGGAUCCAGCAGUUAGAAAAUGAACUGGCUAUGCAACUGACUGAACUAAAGUCUGAGAUAGAAGAACAGGAGACUCAUCGAGCUUACAGCUCUGUUCAAAUACCAAAGGACAUUUCUUACUUCAGAAGAGAAAGGGAACUGGCUCUAAAGAAAACUUUACAGGUGGCUGAGUCAAAGCCCCUUGUUGUUCAAGCAGAUGUCAUGCAGAGGGAGCUAGAGAGCUGCCUAAGAAGAGAGUACACUAAUGAAAAUUUACCUUUGCUUCUGUUGCAGUAUUAUACAGAGAGAAUUACCCAGUUGGCCCAGAGUAAAUAUUUGCACAUGCUUAGAUGGAAGAGGUUUUGCCAGCACAGUAAGAUUAUGGAGCAACUUUAUCCCCUUUACAAGAAACAAGUUGCCUACAUUAUGCAGGAGUACAAUGAUGCCGUCCAGAGAGCUGAAAGAUUGUCUGUUGCACGGGAAAACUUCCUUAUGGGAAAAAGCAAUCCUUCUAACUUAGUGACACAGGAAGACCUGACUAUUUACACAAAGUGGUUUGUGUGUCACCUACACUCACUCACAACCAUUCACCACUACCUACAGUCUCUCCAGUAUUUGCCCAUCUCCAAAGUGCUGAGUGUAGCUGUUAAUGAAGAUCCAGAGGCUGGUCAGGAGGAUGAAAAGGUCUGUGUCGAUGACAUCAACCCUAACAACCAGGGUUCUGUAUCUCCAGGCCCUGUGGAUACCAGCAUUUCAGGGCUGACAAGAACAGAAACUGCUUUUUUCCUGCCCCAACACACAACUGAAAGAGAAGAACUGAAACCUCAGCUGGGGCUCCUGCUCUCCCAUUUCAGUAUCUCCUAUGACGUGGAGUUGCUGAGGGACACUGCUCAGGAGAUGGAGCUUUUUAACUUGGUUUCCAAAAAAUUCCGAAGCAUCUUCAUGGAGCAGCAGAGAAUGCAAACAUUUCCAGAUUAUGAUGCUGAGAUAGCUAAAGUGGAGAAUUUGGGUUUGGCAGGUCCUGGUAUGGCCUUGAAAAAGAGAGCUAACUGGACUUCCUUUAUAAAGAUUAAGCCAAAAUGUGAUCCUUGGCAAAAGAAGAUUUUGACUAGACUAAAAGAAAGGAGAAGAAUAGAUGUAUUAAUGGAACUCCAAGCAAAGUUUUUGAAGAUUUCCAGCCCCGAGCGAGUAAUGCAAGUGCUCCAAGACCACGCUGCAAAGACAAUCAUGCCACCUCCAUCUCGUCCAACUUUCGUGGCUUCCCAGGGUUUGCAUCAGUGCAACUAUGACCACAUCUGGGAGAAUAUUUAUAGCAACAUCAAUCUCUACCAGAAUGAAAAUAUGAGGGAAGAGGACCUUUCAAUGGAACAAAAUGAAAAUGACCUAGCACAAAUAAGUCGCUGCCAACAUGCUGGUGAGCCCGUCAAGCAGAAAAAAGAGACAGGGUAAAAUUAAAUCAUGUUAUUGGUGACUCAAGGAAAUGGAUUAAAUACAGGGAGGGGGUGGAAAUUGAGUGACUGAUUAAUAGGUAGGUUACAUGUUAACUCAAAAAUAUUUGAAGCUGAAAUAAAAGCAAGGCUGUUCAAACA
Long non-coding RNA from Neogale vison (American mink), 1629 nucleotides. NCBI's taxonomy places the organism in Eukaryota, Metazoa, Chordata, Mammalia, Carnivora, Mustelidae. The record is from Ensembl.